AGUGAACGCUGGCGGUAGGCCUAACACAUGCAAGUCGAACGGCAGCACAGUAAGAUCUUGCUCUUACGGGGUGCGAGUGGCGGACGGGAGAGGAAUAUAACCGAAUCUACUUUUUCGUGGGGGUUAACGUAGGGGAACCUACUCUAAUACCGCAUCCGACCUACGGUUGAAAGCAGUGGAACUUCUGACCUUGCGCGAUUGAAUGAGCCGCUGUCGGAGUAGCUAGUUGGCGGGGUAAAGGCCCACCAAGGCGACGAUCGGUAGCUGGUCUGAGAGGAUGAUAGGCGACACUGGAGCUGAGCCAGGGUCCAGGCGACUACGGGAGGCCGCAGUGGGGAAUAUUGGGCAAUAGGGGCAAGCCUGGUACAGCCAUACCGAGUCGGUGGAGGAGGCGUUGGGGUUGGAAAGACCUUUUGUUGGGAAAGAAAAGCAGCAGGUUAAUACGACGCUGGUCUGACGGUAACCAAAGAAUAAGCACCGGCUAACUUCGUG
Molecule: ribosomal RNA, 492 nt
Filed under: uncultured bacterium
Lineage: Bacteria
Description: partial 16S ribosomal RNA
Rfam family: Bacterial small subunit ribosomal RNA
Source: RNAcentral